This is a non-coding RNA of Diaporthe citri, 141 nucleotides long. Lineage: Eukaryota; Fungi; Ascomycota; Sordariomycetes; Diaporthales; Diaporthaceae. The record is from the annotation of a RefSeq genome assembly.
GCCCGGCUAGCUCAAUGUAAGAAUUCACCAUUCCGUUUUAAGAGAAAAAGGCUGAGAGAUGAAAAAAGGGUCAGAGCGUCCGACUUUUACGACCAAAAGAUUUAAAUCGGAAGGCUGAGGGUUCGAGUCCCUCGUCGGGCG